Molecule: long non-coding RNA, 1689 nt
Organism: Monopterus albus (swamp eel)
Lineage: Eukaryota; Metazoa; Chordata; Actinopteri; Synbranchiformes; Synbranchidae
Exons: 4
Source: RefSeq, a predicted model, not a curated record
UAUACAGUUAAGAAAUGCAGUUGAUUUGCCCUAUCCAACCCUGUCUUUCUCACACUGCAUUUAUUUUCUCUGUCCAGCAGAGAGCACCAGCAUACCAAUGAAUAGUCACUCCCAUUGCUUCUCUGCAGAGGCCACUCAAGGUUGGCCUGACCUCGUCUCAGCCUACUUUUUGAGAACUGUUCUUUCCACUGGCAGAUGAUCCAACAGCCUGUGUCAGAGUCGUUCUUUGGACAUCCCGCUGUCGUCCAGAAAUGACAGACUUAUCACAACUCCCGCCCCCUCCUCAAUUCCUCUCCCUCCCUGUCUGUCUCUUGUGAAUGGAGAGUCUGUGACUGAGAUUGCAAAGGGACUCCGUGCCCUACACAGAGAUGUUACAAAACACUGCCAUACUUGGUAUUCAUAGAGCUGCCCUACUUUCAUCAGUACCUAUAUGUGCAAGUACACACACCUAUAUUGAAUGGAUUUAUCCACAAAUUGUUUGUUCAUAAACUGGUUAGUUCACAUAUCGUAUGAAGGUUUGCUAACAGAACUGAUCUGAGACUGUGGAAAUGAAUAUAUCCAUCUAUUAGCCUGCACUGUGCUGUGGUUACAUUAGCCACUGCUACUGCUGAUUAUGGGACAUUACAAAGUGAGUAUGGGAAGUUGACAACUUUCUCCACAUAUUUGUUAUUGCUCAAUAAAUGAAAAGUGGCAUUUCUGUCUCCCCACUGUGUCUCUAAGGUAGGCUGUACAGUAGCUCAAACAAUUAACUGGGUGACAGGUUUUGAACAAAGCUAGAACCCAAAGCCUUUCCCAUUUCUCUUUUUCUCUGUGUAAAUAAGGCACAUUGCAAAUGAAUACAAACAGACAUCAGAUCCUACUAUAACACAUGAUAGAGAAAGAGAAAAUGAACUAUUAUACCACAAACUUCAACAAACAGGGCCUAAGAUAUUAUGUGUGUUUGUACAGGUGCUGUCUAAAUUUAUUUUUAUUGAAAACCACAGUAUUUCAAAGGGAACAUGUGUAAAUACAGCCCAAAAGAGUUCAAAUGACUAAAACCAUCAGAUACUAAAAUAAACACUUAUCAGACAUGACAAUGUACAGUAGUGGCCUUUUCAAGCAAGCAGAGUAGAGUUCUGUCCCUCUUUUGAAGGUAAUAGAUAACCUUUUGCUGUUGGCCACAAAAAAUCUUAACUGCGUAUUUCAGGCCUGGAAAAUACAGAAGACAACGUAAUGUGACAAGACAAAAAUUGAAAUGGCAACCCAAAAAAAGCACCAGAAUUUCACCUUUUACGGGAAAACUUGUACUUUAAUUUUACCUCAGGACCCUCCUUUUCUGGGGGUGGACAUGCUGAGUUAUCCACUAUACCCAAAACGAAUAAAAAAAAAAAACCUGUCAGCCUAUACUGUAUGUUUUCCCUAUGCCUCAUUUCCCCUCAGACCAGAAAGACAGGAAUGGCAUCAUUCUCAUAAUCACUGUGUUUGGUCAUGCUUUCUUAAAGCAUUUCCACUAGGGGCAAAAAGUAACAUACUAAUGUGUAUAUGCUUCUCCCAGUGUUUUUGUCUUUCACUCUGAAAACCAGAUUUUAAGAGCUGCUUAAGCCUGUUAGUCCCAGCUGUGAUGUAAAGCAUGCGUCAUCACUGAAUUGAGUGUUAUGAGCAUGUGUUUGAUAUAAUUACUGAAACAUUGCAUCUGUGUGUUUGUGUGUG